GACGAACGCUGGCGGCAUGCCUAACACAUGCAAGUCGAACGGAGUUAUGUUGAUUGAGAUCUUCGGAUGGAUUUCGAUAUGACUUAGUGGCGGACGGGCGAGUAACGCGUGAGCAACCUGCCCUUCAGUGGGGAAUAACGGCUGGAAACGGUCGCUAAUACCGCAUAACAUCUUCGAGUGGCAUCGCUUGAAGAUCAAAGAUUUAUCGCUGAAGGAUGGGCUCGCGUCCGAUUAGAUAGUUGGUGAGGUAACGGCUCACCAAGUCGACGAUCGGUAGCCGAACUGAGAGGUUGAUCGGCCGCAUUGGGACUGAGACACGGCCCAGACUCCUACGGGAGGCAGCAGUGGGGGAUAUUGCACAAUGGAGGAAACUCUGAUGCAGCAACGCCGCGUGAGGGAAGAAGGUUUUCGGAUUGUAAACCUCUGUUUUUAGUGAAGAAAAAAUGACGGUAGCUAAAGAGGAAGCCACGGCUAACUACGUGCCAGCAG
RNAcentral lists this ribosomal RNA (489 nucleotides) under uncultured bacterium. RNAcentral describes it as "bacterial SSU rRNA". It matches the Rfam family "Bacterial small subunit ribosomal RNA", at positions 28 to 514 of the family's 1533-position model. The record is from RNAcentral.